AUACGUAGGUGGCAAGCGUUGUCCGGAAUUACUGGGUGUAAAGGGAGCGCAGGCGGGCGUGCAAGUCAGCUGUGAAAUCCAUGGGCUUAACCCGUGGGCUGCAGUUGAAACUGUAUGUCUUGGGUGAAGUAGAGGUAGGCGGAAUUCCGAGUGUAGCGGUAAAAUGCGUAGAUAUUCGGAGGAACACCGGUGGCGAAGGCGGCCUACUGGGCUUUAACUGACGCUGAGGCUCGAAAGUGUGGGGAGCAAACAGGAUUAGAUACCCUGGUAGUCCACACUGUAAACGAUGAUUGCUAGGUGUGGGGGGUCUGACCCCUUCCGUGCCGCAGUUAACGCAAUAAGCAAUCCACCUGGGGAGUACGGCCGCAAGGCUAAA
This 376-nucleotide ribosomal RNA is filed under the name uncultured bacterium. RNAcentral describes it as "bacterial SSU rRNA". It matches the Rfam family "Bacterial small subunit ribosomal RNA", at positions 523 to 898 of the family's 1533-position model. The record is from RNAcentral.